GCCGAAACGGCGCAACAGGUAGACACACCAGGUCGAGAUCCUGGCGCUCGCAAAGAGCUUAUGGGUUCGAAUCCCAUUCCCGGCA
RNAcentral lists this transfer RNA (85 nucleotides) under Chloroflexota bacterium. Its description in RNAcentral is "Chloroflexi bacterium tRNA-Leu". The record is from RNAcentral. Lineage: Bacteria; Bacillati; Chloroflexota.